Molecule: long non-coding RNA, 476 nt
Filed under: Capra hircus (goat)
Lineage: Eukaryota; Metazoa; Chordata; Mammalia; Artiodactyla; Bovidae
Description: lncRNA (ENSCHIG00010026675.1)
Source: RNAcentral
CAUCUCACACACAACUAUGACCUUACCUCUUUUCAUCAUCAAGAAUCAGCUACCAUUAUCCCCAUUUUAACAGAUGAGGGAACUGAGGCUUACACAGUUUAAGUUAUUUACUUGCCCAAGGACACAAAUUAGGAACUGGUGCAACUCAUACCUGACCCUACACCUAACACCAAAGCCCAUACUGCCUUACCAUGCAGAGCUUCUAGAGUGCUUAAACUCCUGGCAAUUUCAUUUCAGCCAAAUGAUCUGCAAUCUGUAAAAUCUGAUACUUUACAUAUGCUUACUACAGUUUUUGUUUGAAGACUGACAUUCUUCCAUCAUCAGAAAGGUUCCUUCUUCUUCAGGAAAAGAAUGACAAACUCUUCAAAUAUUUUUGAAAUCAGCAUGACUUGCUUGUGGGGCUCUAAGGUUUGUUCUUGCUUUUAGAACACUGGAAGAUACUUGAGUAUCAGAACUGGAUGGCAGUACUUAUAUAC